GCCUGCCCUGCUGCAGUGAUGGAUUGCAUGGGCUGACAUUGAAGCUUCUGCUCCUUUCUUCCCCCCCAUCCUCUGCUGGUGGAGCUGAGUGGGCUGAAUAUUUUCCACACAACAGACCCAAGCAAACGUCUCAUGAUCUAAUCCCAGUCCUUGGAGGUUUGAGGGGGAGUUUCUAGCCUGGGCUGCAGCUGUGUAUGUGUCUGUAUCCAGCAAUGCGUGAACCAGCCUCUGACACACGCAGUGUCUUUGAGGAAGCUCUGGAAAACAUCUGGAAAAUCAUGUCCCUGUUCUCCAAAGACAGCAGCAUCUGUCACCUUGCUGUUUGCCUUGUGUCCUGCCUCCCUUUGGACCACCGUUGCCUUCUGCUCCCAUCUGAGGCAUCGUCUGCGUGGUUACACACUGCUCGGGAGGAAGAGCUCUGCAACAUUAACUCGGUUUCUAAUGAUCUUGUCAUAGUGAACACCGCAGCGAGAUUAAAUGAAAGACCGGGAAGAGUCAAGAGCAAAACUCAGCCCUUCAGAUGGACGGAGCUGCAGGUUGCAGCUGCUCACUGGGGCAGGAGCUCCUACCAAAAGGUCUGCUGGGCAGCCCUGGCUGCAGGAACCCAGUGGGGAACCUCUAUGGGCAACUGCAGGGCUGGCACAGAGCUACGCUGGGACUGCCAGACCUGCUCAGCUGUUGGUGAAGGAGUGACACGUUACCUGUUGGAACCUCUCACAACUCGUUACGUACCAUAAAAAGUUGCCAUUUAUGUAUUUAUGGAGAUGGAAGUGAAUUGUAGGUGAGGCGUGCAUUUUGCACAGCAGCCCCCAGUGGGGAUUGGGCACAAAUCUCACCAAGAGAGGUAUGGCACAAAUUCAGCCAAACACCAGGGAGUGCCUAAGGUGAAGUAGCGAGGCUCUUUGUACAGCAAUAGCAGCUCUUUCUGUUUGCUGUGCAUCAGCUAAAACCCAUCACAUCUUACUGUCAUCUCAGCAAUGAACUGUCCAUGUGAUGCUCCUGGUUUGUAUGUUGGCUUCUCUGAAUCCUUUUGGUGAUGAACACAUUCGUGCACAUCUACCCUGGAGCUUUCUGCUGGGAAUGUCCCAGCUGGGCAGCACACAGGGUUGGGGCACUGCAUCCAGCAGCAGGGCUGGGUCCAUUCCUCAGCACCUCUAGCAUAGCCCUCCUUUUGCAGAAGCCUCUUUCCCCAGAGGAAACAACGCUCACAACGCCUCACAUCUGCUCUGCUCAGCCACAGAACAUUCCAAAAUUCAGGAUGGCAACAGUAGGGCGCUGAGUUCAGUGUGGGGCAGGCUGGUGGUGGGCACAGUCCCUGCAUGCAGUGCCAGGACCCUCUGUCCCACUCAGCCCUGUCCUCUUACAGUGGGCUGCACGAUGCCCACAGCCAUCCCCAUCACCCCACAGGCACUGUUUUCACUUCACACCUACCAAGGGACUCUAAAUAUAUCCUAGACAAUUUCCUCUCCUCAUUUUUAAUAAUCUCUCUCAGCCUUAAAUUAGUUUUCGAAAAUACGUAUUGAGGAUGAUGGGCUUUUUAUCACAGCUGAUAGACAAUAUUCAUCACACCCGUGUCCUCAUCCUCACAACACGCACGCAUUCAUUACAGCAGCCCCACAUCCAUUUUACCAACGUUUAAUUCGCUCCAUCUCUAUCACUGCGUGCACACAUUCCCCACAGCAUCCUCACGUGCCAUUUGUCAUCUACCCCGAGGAGAUGGAGAGCUCUGAGCCCUCAGCUCAGGGCAGGGACCGCAGGGAAAGCUGUGCCAGCAGAGCCCAUGGGUGCAGCUCCUCCUGCACAGCAGUGCAGGAAGCCUUGCUGGAAGCAGAGGACGAUGCAUCAGAGCAGAUGAGGAGCCAUGAUGAUCUUUUUAGGCCCAAGCUGAGAGCAAGAAAAGGAAGCUACGUAACCUGGGGAAUGGUGACAAAGUGGAAAAUCACCAAAGCUGGAGAAGCUGAGCAUUAAAAUGAGCGUUGCAGGGAAAGUGAAGCUCUCAACAUCUGUCACGUCCCAGGAGCGUGGAGUUGUCUGCUGGACUAAAAUAAAUCCAGGCAGGCUGGCUGGGAGAGCCCA
Molecule: long non-coding RNA, 2076 nt
Organism: Phasianus colchicus (ring-necked pheasant)
Lineage: Eukaryota; Metazoa; Chordata; Aves; Galliformes; Phasianidae
Source: Ensembl